UUAAGCCGCCAUAUCACCCUGUAGCCCAAGACUGGUUGCCCACUGAAGCUAAGCAGGGCUGAGCCUGGUCAGUACCUGGAUGGGAGACCUCCUGGGAAAACUAGGUUGCUGCUGGAA
RNAcentral lists this ribosomal RNA (117 nucleotides) under Sinocyclocheilus grahami. Lineage: Eukaryota; Metazoa; Chordata; Actinopteri; Cypriniformes; Cyprinidae. The record is from RNAcentral.